This 253-nucleotide ribosomal RNA is filed under the name uncultured bacterium. RNAcentral describes it as "partial 16S ribosomal RNA". It matches the Rfam family "Bacterial small subunit ribosomal RNA", at positions 524 to 776 of the family's 1533-position model. The record is from RNAcentral.
UACGGAGAGUGCAAACGUUGUUCGGAUUCACUGGGCGUAAAGGGCACGUAGGCGGCUCGGCAAAUCGGUCGUGGAAUCCAGACGCUUACCGUCUGAACGGCGGCCGAAAAUACCGGGCUCGAGGGCGUGAGGGGUCACUGGAACUCCUGGUGAAGCGGUGAAAUGCGUAGAUAUCAGGAGGAACACCGGUGGCGAAGGCGGCUUUCUGGACAGACACCGACGCUGAGGCACGAAAGCUAGGGGAGCAAACAGG